This 819-nucleotide long non-coding RNA is filed under the name Callithrix jacchus (white-tufted-ear marmoset). RNAcentral describes it as "lncRNA (ENSCJAG00000059917.2)". Lineage: Eukaryota; Metazoa; Chordata; Mammalia; Primates; Cebidae. The record is from RNAcentral.
UUUUAUUAUGUUCUCAUUGUUUGAAAGACCUUGAGUGUUAUCUGUUCUCCCGACAGGAUCCUGACUGACAUGAUACUGACAGCAAAAACGAGAUAUUGUGGAAUUCACUUGAUCUUCAUCUGAAUUCUCAGGCCAUCAGAUUGAGACAGAGCCUCCUGUCACCCGAAAACAACUGGGGAGUUAUAAUUGGAAAUAUGUGUGUCUUGCUGUCUAUCAAAUCCUUUCGCUUUCCUUUUAGACGCUCAGCUAGACUUGAUUUCCCAAUCAUAUAGUAGAUUCCUGGCUAGUGGAAUAGGGGUAGAAUUUAUGCCUGCAAUUUCCAGGGCUGUUUCAUAAAAAUCUUCUUUCUCUCUUUCUUCUUUCUGCUGGCUGGACUUUAUCACUCAGGACAACACUGGCUGUACAUGUUGAGGAGGUCAGAGCCUCUGUCUCCCUGGGUCCUAAACUGGUGAACUAGAGCAGACUCUUCCCACAUCAGCCACACUACCAGUUGGACUUGAUAUGAAUGAGAGAUAAACAUUAUGGUCCAGCACUAUCAACUACUCAAGUUUUGUCAGCCAAUGGAUGAAAACUGUUUGCUAAUAAUGAAAAGGAGGGCACAUAGAAAUGCAAUAGCUAUUUCAGAACAUUUCAACUCAGGGCAGGGCAGUAGCUCUCACCGGUCACACUGGGGGUAUACUGUGGAGUCUCUGACACUUCCCUUCUUACACAGUGUACUGUUCUGUAUGAUGUAUUCUCCUUUUUGACUUAGUAAUUUAUUUUAGAGAUGCAUAAUGUAUAAUAAAUAGACAACCUCCCAGAGCUGUAGAAAAGGAUAUG